CCCUUAGAUGUUCUGGGCCGCACGCGCGCUACACUGACGGAGCCAGCGAGCUUACCCCUUUGCCGAAAGGCAUGGGAAAUCUUUUGAAUCUCCGUCGUGCUGGGGAUAGAUCAUUGCAAUUAUUGAUCUUGAACGAGGAAUUCCUAGUAAGCGCAAGUCAUCAACUUGCGUUGAUUACGUCCCUGCCCUUUGUACACACCGCCCGUCGCUCCUACCGAUUGGGUGUGCUGGUGAAAUGUUCGGAUCGGCCGUUUGUCGCGGUUUCCGCGUCAUGUGGCUGAGAAGUUCAUUAAACCCUCCCACCUAGAGGAAGGAGAAGUCGUAACA
This 327-nucleotide ribosomal RNA is filed under the name uncultured eukaryote. Its description in RNAcentral is "partial 18S ribosomal RNA". It matches the Rfam family "Eukaryotic small subunit ribosomal RNA", at positions 1470 to 1796 of the family's 1831-position model. The record is from RNAcentral.